GACGAACGCUGGCGGCGUGCUUAACACAUGCAAGUCGAACGGAAAGGCCCUGCUUGUGUGGGGUGCUCGAGUGGCGAACGGGUGAGUAACACGUGAGUAACCUGCCCUUGACUGUGGGAUAACUUCAGGAAACUGGGGCUAAUACCGGAUAGGAGCUCCUGCUGCAUGGUGGGGGUUGGAAAGUUUCGGCGGUUGGGGAUGGACUCGCGGCUUAUCAGCUUGUUGGUGGGGUAGUGGCUUACCAAGGCUUUGACGGGUAGCCGGCCUGAGAGGGUGACCGGCCACAUUGGGACUGAGGUACGGCCCAGACUCCUACGGGAGGCAGCAGUGGGGAAUAUUGCACAAUGGGCGGAAGCCUGAUGCAGCAACGCCGCGUGCGGGAUGACGGCCUUCGGGUUGUAAACCGCUUUCGCCUGUGACGCAGCGUGAGUGACGGUAAUGGGUAAAGAAGCACCGGCUAACUACGUG
RNAcentral lists this ribosomal RNA (468 nucleotides) under uncultured bacterium. RNAcentral's name for it is "partial 16S ribosomal RNA". It matches the Rfam family "Bacterial small subunit ribosomal RNA", at positions 28 to 507 of the family's 1533-position model. The record is from RNAcentral.